RNAcentral lists this ribosomal RNA (253 nucleotides) under uncultured bacterium. RNAcentral describes it as "partial 16S ribosomal RNA". It matches the Rfam family "Bacterial small subunit ribosomal RNA", at positions 524 to 776 of the family's 1533-position model. The record is from RNAcentral.
UACGGAGGGUGCAAGCGUUGUCCGGAUUUAUUGGGUUUAAAGGGUGCGUAGGCGGUGCUUUAAGUCCGGGGUGAAAGCCCACUGCUCAACAGUGGAACUGCCCUGGAUACUGGCGGGCUUGAGUCCAGACGAGGUUGGCGGAAUGGAUGGUGUAGCGGUGAAAUGCAUAGAUACCAUCCAGAACCCCGAUUGCGUAGGCAGCUGACUAGGCUGGUACUGACACUGAGGCACGAAAGCGUGGGGAGCGAACAGG